AGGUAAAUGGGUGUCUUGGGGUCUUCUGCAGCGCCACUGGCUUCACCACCCGGUCAGACAUCGGGCCUGCCCGGGAUGCCAACGAUCCUGUGGAUGACCGCCACGCGCCGCCGGGCAAGAGGACCGUCGGGGACCAGAUGAAGAAGAGCCAGGCUGCGGAUGACGAUGAUGAGGAUCUGAAUGACACCAACUACGAUGAGUUUAAUGGCUAUGCAGGGAGCCUCUUCUCAAGUGGGCCCUACGAAAAGGAUGACGAGGAAGCGGAUGCUAUUUAUGCAGCUCUGGAUAAAAGGAUGGACGAAAGAAGAAAAGAAAGAAGGGUGGAAUCUGGGUGUGGC
Molecule: long non-coding RNA, 338 nt
Organism: Myotis lucifugus (little brown bat)
Lineage: Eukaryota; Metazoa; Chordata; Mammalia; Chiroptera; Vespertilionidae
Exons: 3
Source: RefSeq, a predicted model, not a curated record